RNAcentral lists this unclassified non-coding RNA (2111 nucleotides) under Hevea brasiliensis (rubber tree). Lineage: Eukaryota; Viridiplantae; Streptophyta; Magnoliopsida; Malpighiales; Euphorbiaceae. The record is from RNAcentral.
AAAAACUCAAACACAUAAUACAAUUCAAUACAACCAAAUAUAAAUAUAGUAAUAAAUAAUAAGUUAAUUAAACAAUAUAUAUAUAUAUUUUAAUUUCAUUAGCCAUAGAAUCACCAUUAUUGUUCUUGCUUUAAGGUUAUCAUUUGAAAGUUGAAUCUUGUUGUUGAUGGAAACAUUAAAAAUACAAAACUGGCCCUGGGCCUUUGGGGAGCAGCUUUACGCAAGCUCACCCAAACCCAGCAAGUAUACGUUGCCAACCGCUACGAGACUACAACUCCUUCGGAACCCCGUCUGCUCUCUCUAUCCAAGGCCAACCCAAGCAAAGGACAUUUUAGACAAUUCAUAAAAGCACCGCGUCCGUCAACCCUGGCGGCUCGGGUCUGCUUUUAGACCAUGAAACGCUGCUAAAAACAGUCUUAAUAUCAAAGAAACCCUCAGGAAAAUUCCUCCUCUUCUCUUACUCCUUUCUGAUCUCUCACCUACUAAAAGCCCCCUUCCACUCUCCUCUUUCUUUCUCACCAAACACUCUCACUAUGGAUUCAGACCAAGGAAUUCCCAGCAAUGAAUACUACAGCAAAGGCUAUUCUUUAAGCGGUAGGAUUAUGCUAACCGCGAUUGUUAUCCUCUUCUUUGUGAUAAUUAUGACUGCUUGUCUCCACCUCUACGCCCGCUGGUACCUCCUCCAUGCUCGCCGCCGUCAAGUUCGCCGUGCCCGGAGCCGUCGCACUAAUCUCAUAUUUUAUGUUGAUCCCUCCAACCCCGCAGCCGCCCAUAUUACCAUUCCCUCCCGUGGACUGGAUGCUGCAGUUCUAAAGUCGCUGCCGGUAUUUGUUUAUUCUUCCAAAACUUACCCAGAUUCGAUUGAGUGUGCCGUUUGCUUAUCCGAAUUCGAAGAGAACGAAAAGGGCCGGAUCUUACCCAAAUGCAACCACAGCUUCCAUAUUGAGUGCAUCGACAUGUGGUUCCAUUCUCACUCCACUUGUCCUCUCUGCCGCUCCCCUGUUGAACCCGUACCUGAAAAAUCUGCCCAGUUAGAUUCCUCGAUGAAUGUUACUGAAAACGGUUCCAGCUCCGAUUUAAGCGCCACCUGCCAGCAUGAGGAAGACCAUGUGGGUGCAUCUACUUCGUCUUUUGGGGGUCGAAGGAAACCAGCGGAACUGGUGGGUGUGACAAUAGAAGUACCCAGAAGAACUGGUAAUUUCGAAGACGAGUUAGUGACCGAGUCACCGACUUAUAGAUCGCCGAUGAGUCGUAUGUUGUCUUUUAGGAGGAUUCUGAGCAGAGAAAGAAGAGGUAAUAUGUCUCCCUAUUCAGGGAAUCCAACGAGUUAUGUUGGGUUAGUGAGCGAGUCAGACCUGGAAAGAGGCAGAGAUGAGGCAAACUCAGUGGUGUGAGCAAAGUGUCACGUCGUGUGUACACCAGAGGGCGUUGAAUGAGAAACAUCCGGGUACCGUCAGCUGUAGCUAGACUCGACUCGGUUGGAAGCGAUUAAUAUUAGAAGAGGGCGAUUGAUGUGCAGGUGGCAGUGGAUGGGCCCUGCCGUAAAAAUUCAUGCCAGCGUUGGUUGCCUGUGUAUAAUUUCUUAGCAUUUAUUGAUUUUUUUUAAUUAUAAUAUUAAAAUCUUUUUUUAAAAAUCACCUGGCAUUUAUUGGGGCUUCGCCAUACGUCUUAAGUAGAUCCAGCCAGAGUGGCCAGAACCGAUUGGGUAAAGGCUAUGAAGAAAUUGAGAAACCUUUGACGAGUUGCUGCUUGCUGGAAUAUUGGGGGUGCAUUUCCUGCCUCAUCUAACCGAGUGAUGAUAGUGCGUGGGCUUAUAUGAAGUCAUACUAGUCAAUCACAUCUUUAACAUAAUGCUUUCUUUCACAAGAAAGUUAGCCUUCCAUCUAAUCAUCUUUCAAGUUUACUUCCCCCCAACAUUUUGCAAGUGUGAAUCUUUAUUGGACCAUUUAUGAUUAUAUUAUUCAGCAUAAGCAAAUGACAAGAGCUCUAUUAGAUGAAACUAUUGAAAGGAGAGAUGUUGGAGACUUGUAGGAUGAAAAGGGUUAUACAAGGAUAAAAUUUUUAUAUUAAAAAAAAAUGGGAUGAAUGAUAGACAUAUAAGUCAGAAGAAU